ACACGUGGCGACACCCUCCCGCGGUAAGAACCUUGAAGCUGUCACCAUGCACCAGUGGCUCCCCGCUAGACGACACGGCCCGUGAGUACUCCACGAGCAUCACCGUGUGUCCAACCCCUAUCCUUAUCCUGCAUGUCAGAUUCUUACCAAGCCCGAGAUGCUGCAAAAAAAAAAUCGAAAUGCACGAAAAAACGGUACAGCACAGACAUCCCUCCUGCCUCCCAGCCCCCGGGC
RNAcentral lists this long non-coding RNA (234 nucleotides) under Brachypodium distachyon (stiff brome). RNAcentral describes it as "long non-coding RNA (BDIS_LNC002212)". Lineage: Eukaryota; Viridiplantae; Streptophyta; Magnoliopsida; Poales; Poaceae. The record is from RNAcentral.